Phrynosoma platyrhinos (Desert horned lizard) is the source of this 72-nucleotide non-coding RNA. The record is from the annotation of a GenBank genome assembly. NCBI's taxonomy places the organism in Eukaryota, Metazoa, Chordata, Lepidosauria, Squamata, Phrynosomatidae.
GCCAGCAUGGUGUUGUGGUUUGAGCAUUGGUCUACAAUUCUGGAGACCAGGGUUCAAAUCCCUGUUUGGUCA